This 413-nucleotide ribosomal RNA is filed under the name uncultured bacterium. RNAcentral's name for it is "bacterial SSU rRNA". It matches the Rfam family "Bacterial small subunit ribosomal RNA", at positions 505 to 916 of the family's 1533-position model. The record is from RNAcentral.
GUGCCAGCCGCCGCGGUAAUACAGAGGGUGCAAGCGUUAAUCGGAAUUACUGGGCGUAAAGCGCGCGUAGGCCGUCGAGUAAGUCGGUUGUGAAAUCCCCGGGCUUAACCUGGGAAUUGCAGUCGAUACUGCUUGGCUAGAGUGUGGAAGAGGGAAGCGGAAUUUCCGGUGUAGCGGUGAAAUGCGUAGAUAUCGGAAGGAACACCAGUGGCGAAGGCGGCUUCCUGGUCCAACACUGACGCUGAGGCGCGAAAGCGUGGGGAGCGAACAGGAUUAGAUACCCUGGUAGUCCACGCUGUAAACGAUGAGAACUAGAUGUUGGGGGGGUAUAACCCCUCAGUGUCGCAGCUAACGCGUUAAGUUCUCCGCCUGGGGAGUACGGCCGCAAGGUUGAAACUCAAAGGAAUUGACGG